This 436-nucleotide ribosomal RNA is filed under the name Intrasporangiaceae bacterium 'ARUP UnID 662'. RNAcentral describes it as "bacterial SSU rRNA". It matches the Rfam family "Bacterial small subunit ribosomal RNA", at positions 32 to 479 of the family's 1533-position model. The record is from RNAcentral. Lineage: Bacteria; Bacillati; Actinomycetota; Actinomycetes; Micrococcales; Intrasporangiaceae.
AACGCUGGCGGCGUGCUUAACACAUGCAAGUCGAACGGUGAUCYAUCAGYUUGYUGGUGGUGAUCAGUGGCGAACGGGUGAGUAACACGUGAGUAACCUGCCCYAGACUCUGGAAUAACCCCGGGAAACCGGAGCUAAUACCGGAUAUGACAUCAAACCGCAUGGUUAUGGUGUGGAAAGUUUUUCGGUCUGGGAUGGACUCGCGGCCUAUCAGYUUGUUGGUGAGGUAAUGGCUCACCAAGGCGACGACGGGUAGCCGGCCUGAGAGGGCGACCGGCCACACUGGGACUGAGACWCGGCCCAGACUCCUACGGGAGGCAGCAGUGGGGAAUAUUGCACAAUGGGCGAAAGCCUGAUGCAGCGACGCCGCGUGAGGGAUGACGGCCUUCGGGUUGUAAACCUCUUUCAGCAGGGAAGAAGCGCAAGUGACGGUACC